Callithrix jacchus (white-tufted-ear marmoset) is the source of this 1705-nucleotide long non-coding RNA. The record is from Ensembl. NCBI's taxonomy places the organism in Eukaryota, Metazoa, Chordata, Mammalia, Primates, Cebidae.
AUGCCUGAGAACACCUAUCUCCUAACUCGUCUUCCUGCUUUGAGUGUCCCUCCAAGGAUAAAGCAACUGGCACAGUCUCCGACAAUAGUUUUGAGCUCUUAUCUCCAAGUUGAGGCUGUGCCAGAUGUUGUGGACACAGCCCAGAGGAGAGCUGGUGGCCUCACUGCCCUAAACCUGCAGGGAUGCAAGGUGUUCAGGCCGUGCAAAAUAAUGACAGCUGCAUGGAGACCGGAGAGAGCACCUAGAGGCCUGGAAGGCUUCCAAAAGAAAGAGAUGCUUCCAAACAAAAGGAACAGGAAGUUGGUGUCUUGUCUGUCUGCCAUUCAAGAGGACUGAAUACGUUCCAUUAAAUUCUCCUGCAAACUUUGCUGAAGAGCCCAGCAAGCAGCGAUGAAAAUUACAGAGUGUCUCCCAGGCACUUUCGUGGGUAAUCAGCUGAAAUUGAGCAGUUUUCCAUAUUCUUUGCUGAUAAUGCAAAAGGAAUCUUUAAAACAAACAGCUCCAAGUCACCAUACAUCUUAUAAGCUGAAAGGGCCCAUGUGGUCCACACAGAUGCUCCAGCCACACAUCAGGCCCUGCUGCAGAGUAACUGCUUCCCAUAGCUAUCAGAGGUGAGAGCCAGCCGACUGCCUGUGCCUUCCCAAAUGGCCAGGCUGAGCUAGAGGGUUUAUGGGUCCAGGGCCAAUCAUCGGAAUAGAUUAGCUGUCAAGAAGUAAAAGCAGCUCUAGGAAAUGGCUAGGUCUAGCUAAAAUCCCUAUGAUUUUCUUCACACCAGGUGCAGUUUAUCACUGAAUGUGCUCCCUCAUGCUGUCCAGGAAAAAAGGACUCUGGGUUAAAGAGUAGGAUCUAGGACUCUAGGUCUAAACUGGUCCAGGUUUUAAAUGCCCAAGAUUAUCAACCAAAGUAGAAAAGAGAUGCAGGGAUUAGUGAUGCAGAAAAAGCUGUUUCCUCUAAGAUUUUCAUGGUUCUGAAUGAAGCAUCUGGGGAGAAAAUUCAUUUGGGGGUUGCUAAGAGGCCAAGAGAAGGGAAAAUGGAAAGGAAGCUAGUGUGACAUAUGGUGGGACAUGCAGGGAGGGGCUAUGGACCCAGGCUUUAUUCAGAUGCCAACUUGCCAUGCCCUGGCUAUGUGUAAGCCAAAAAUGUACCUAAGACAAGUCUCAAUCAAUUUAUUUUCCCAAGGUUAAGGAUCAUGGCCCAUGGCCUUAGGAGGUCCUGAGAACAUGUACCUGAAGUGCUUGGGUUACAGCUUGGUUUUGUCUUUUUAGGGAGACAUAAGACAUCGAUCGAUACAUGUGAGGUAUACAUGGGUUUGGUCUGGAAAGUUGUUGCCUAUGAGGGACAACUUGAAGCAGGGACUUACAGGUCAUAGGUGAAUUCAAAGAUUUUCUGAUUGACAAUUGGCUGAAAGAGUUAAGUUAUUAUCGAAAUGCCUGGAAUCAAUAGAAAGGAGUGUGUGGGUUAAGAUAAGGGGUUGUGGAGAUCAAACUUAUUAUGUAGACGAAGUCUCACAGGAAGCUGCCCUUAAAAGCAAUAGAUGGCAAAUGUUUCCUAUUCAGACCUUUAAAAUGUGCUAGAUUCUCAGCUAAUCUCUUCAGGAUCAGAAAAGGACCUGGAAAGAAUGUACAUUCCCCCUACAAGAGACAGCUUUGCAGGUCCAUUUCAAAAUAUGUCAGUGAGAUAUAUUUUGAGGUAAAAUAUUUCCGUU